GUAGUUACGUCCACAUUCUGACACUAGCAUGCGACCACUCGAAUCUUUCAAAACCUGCACAACAACCAUACCAACUACUUAUCUCAUGUUUUAAGCAAAUGAUAGGUCAAUGCAAGACAAACAUUUAAGUGGUCUUCUAUUAUCGCUUCAUCUACUCACCAAUCCCUCCCUCCAGAGCUCCAUCCUCUAAGAUAUGAGAUAACAAUCUCAUUCUCCCACAGAAUGCAAAAUUGCUAAUAGUUCUUAAGAGCAGCUGCUGACCCAAAAACCAUAAUAGGAAAUUUCAAUACCUAAACAACAAGAAAAGAAAAAUUGUUAAGAAACUUAUCGGAUGACUUAACCCAUCUCAGCACAUAAAGAGGAUGGCGUAACCCAACUCAUCUCAGCACAUAAAGAGGAUGACUUAACCAACCUCUGCACAUUAAGAGUAACAACAUCUCGACAUUAUAAACUUCUGCAUUAUGAAAAUCCCAAAAGAAACACAACAAAAUUAAAAACCAUCUAUUGAUAUGAAAAACAGAUCUAAUCAAAAGCCUCAAAUCCAAGUAUUUUUGAGAGAUAUGAAGAACCAGGAAGCAAAUCUCCUUGAAAGUUGAGAUAGAAAUCCAAACCAAUGGAAAACUUAAAAACCAAGAGAUCCAAAGAAAGAGUAGAAUAAAAUUGUAUAAUCAGUGUAGACUUUUGUCUUAU
Molecule: long non-coding RNA, 690 nt
Filed under: Theobroma cacao (cacao)
Lineage: Eukaryota; Viridiplantae; Streptophyta; Magnoliopsida; Malvales; Malvaceae
Description: long non-coding RNA (TCAC_LNC002196)
Source: RNAcentral